CNUUGCGAGAUUAGCCAGNANGUCUAGUACAUACCUUCUCCAAGGGUGAAACCGCGAAUGGCUCAUUAAAUCAGUUAUGGUUCCUUAGAUCGUACCUUACUACUUGGAUACCUGUGGUAAUUCUAGAGCUAAUACAUGCAUCAGAGCUCCGACCCCGUCGUUUCAAACCGGCGGGGGAAGAGCGCUUUUAUUAGACCAAAACCAAUCGGACUUUCAUUAGUCCGUGCAAAAAUUGGUGGUGACUCUGUAUAACUUUGGGCUGAUCGCACGGGCUCGUCCCGGCGACGCAUCUUUCAAGUGUCUGCCUUAUCAACUGUCGAUGGUAGGUUACGCGCCUACCAUGGUCGUAACGGGUGACGGGGAAUCAGGGUUCGAUUCCGGAGAGGGAGCCUGAGAAACGGCUACCACAUCCAAGGAAGGCAGCAGGCGCGCAAAUUACCCAAUCCCGGCACGGGGAGGUAGUGACGAAAAAUAACAAUACGGGACUCUUUUGAGACCCCGUAAUUGGAAUGAGUACACUCUAAAUCCUUUAACGAGGAUCGAUUGGAGGGCAAGUCUGGUGCCAGCAGCCGCGGUAAUUCCAGCUCCAAUAGCGUAUAUUAAAGUUGUUGCGGUUAAAAAGCUCGUAGUUGGAUCUCAGUUCCAGACGUGCGGUCCGCUUUAACGGCGGCUACCGCCCGCUUCUGUGGACAAAAUUGCCGGCUUCCCCCGAUGAUCUUCACCGGUUGUCCCGGGUGGCCGGCACGUUUACUUUGAAAAAAUUAGAGUGCUCAAAGCAGGCAUAUGCAAGCCUGAAUAAUCGUGCAUGGAAUAAUGGAAUACGACUUCGGUCCUAUUUUGUUGGUUUUCUGGAUGCGAGGUGAUGAUUAAGAGGGACAGACGGGGGCAUUCGUAUUGCGGCGCUAGAGGUGAAAAUUCUUGGACCGCCGCAAGACGAACUACUGCGAGANUUUUUUNNCCAAGAAAA
Molecule: ribosomal RNA, 967 nt
Filed under: Calommata signata
Lineage: Eukaryota; Metazoa; Arthropoda; Arachnida; Araneae; Atypidae
Description: bacterial SSU rRNA
Rfam family: Eukaryotic small subunit ribosomal RNA
Source: RNAcentral